GACGAACGCUGGCGGCGUGCUUAACACAUGCAAGUCGAACGCUGAAGCUUGGUGCUUGCACUGGGUGGAUGAGUGGCGAACGGGUGAGUAAUACGUGAGUAACCUGCCCUUGACUCUGGGAUAAGCCUGGGAAACUGGGUCUAAUACUGGAUACGACAUGUCACCGCAUGGUGGUUUGUGGAAAGGGUUUUACUGGUUUUGGAUGGGCUCACGGCCUAUCAGCUUGUUGGUGGGGUAAUGGCUCACCAAGGCGACGACGGGUAGCCGGCCUGAGAGGGUGACCAGCCACACUGGGACUGAGACACGGCCCAGACUCCUACGGGAGGCAGCAGUGGAGAAUAUUGCACAAUGGGCGGAAGCCUGAUGCAGCGACGCCGCGUGAGGGAUGACGGCCUUCGGGUUGUGAACCUCUUUCAGCACGGAAGAAGCGAAAGUGACGGUACGUGCAGAAGAAGCGCCGGCUAACUACGUG
RNAcentral lists this ribosomal RNA (472 nucleotides) under uncultured bacterium. Its description in RNAcentral is "partial 16S ribosomal RNA". It matches the Rfam family "Bacterial small subunit ribosomal RNA", at positions 28 to 507 of the family's 1533-position model. The record is from RNAcentral.